GCUGUCACCCGGGGAGGGGUGCGUAACGCGUAUGCAACCGACCUGCUACUGAGGGAUAAACGGGGAAACUUGGGUUACUACCCCGUAUAGUCGCCCCGUCACAUGACUGGSCGAUGAAGCGHACGCGGUAGCAGAUGGGCAUGCUUCCGAUUAGUUCGUUGGUAGGGUAACGGCCUACAUGGCCACUAUCGGUAGGGGAACUGAGAGGUUGGUCCCCCACCCUGGCACUGAGACACGGCCAUACUCCUACGGGAGGAAGUAGUAGGGAAUAUUGGGCAAUGGUCGCAAGACUGACCAGGCUCGCCGCGUGCAGGACGGAGGCGCUGUGCGUUGUAAACUGCUUUUGUCGCGAAAAAAAUAGCGGUGCGCCGCUGCUUGACGGUUCGUUACGAACAAGCAUCGGCUAACUCCGUCCAGCACCUCGGCAAUACGGAGGAUGCGAGCGUUAUCCGGAUUCAUUGGGUUUAAAGGUGCGUACGUGCUGUUGCAAGUCGGCGUCUAAAAUUCGGCAUCUCAACUGUCGGCGUGCCUAUAAUACUGCGACGCUUGAGUACCUGCAAGGUGGGUGGAAUUGGUAGUGUACCGCUGAAUGCGUAACAUAUUACCAGGAACUCCGAUUGUCCAUG
Molecule: ribosomal RNA, 626 nt
Filed under: uncultured Bacteroidota bacterium
Lineage: Bacteria; Pseudomonadati; Bacteroidota
Description: bacterial SSU rRNA
Rfam family: Bacterial small subunit ribosomal RNA
Source: RNAcentral